UGGGGGAAUAUUAAUGCCUAAGAUCCAGAGC
RNAcentral lists this non-coding RNA (31 nucleotides) under Rattus norvegicus (Norway rat). The record is from RNAcentral. Lineage: Eukaryota; Metazoa; Chordata; Mammalia; Rodentia; Muridae.